GGGGAAUAUUGGACAAUGGGCGCAAGCCUGAUCCAGCCAUACCGCGUGGGUGAAGAAGGCCUUCGGGUUGUAAAGCCCUUUUGUUGGGAAAGAAAAGCAGCCGGCUAAUACCCGGUUGUUCUGACGGUACCCAAAGAAUAAGCACCGGCUAACUUCGUGCCAGCAGCCGCGGUAAUACGAAGGGUGCAAGCGUUACUCGGAAUUACUGGGCGUAAAGCGUGCGUAGGUGGUUGCUUAAGUCUGUCGUGAAAGCCCUGGGCUCAACCUGGGAACUGCGAUGGAAACUGGGCGACUAGAGUGUGGUAGAGGGUAGCGGAAUUCCUGGUGUAGCAGUGAAAUGCGUAGAUAUCAGGAGGAACAUCCAUGGCGAAGGCAGCUACCUGGGCCAACACUGACACUGAGGCACGGAAGCAUGGGGAGCAAAC
RNAcentral lists this ribosomal RNA (425 nucleotides) under uncultured bacterium. RNAcentral's name for it is "bacterial SSU rRNA". It matches the Rfam family "Bacterial small subunit ribosomal RNA", at positions 356 to 773 of the family's 1533-position model. The record is from RNAcentral.